Molecule: ribosomal RNA, 388 nt
Filed under: uncultured bacterium
Lineage: Bacteria
Description: bacterial SSU rRNA
Rfam family: Bacterial small subunit ribosomal RNA
Source: RNAcentral
GACGAACGCUGGCGGCGUGCUUAACACAUGCAAGUCGAACGGUAAGGCCCUUCGGGUACGACGAGUGGCGAACGGGUGAGUAACACGUGGGUGAUCUGCCCUGCACUUCGGGAUAAGCCUGGGAAACUGGGUCUAAUACCGGAUAGGACCAUGGACUUCACGGUUUGUGGUGGAAAGCUUUUGCGGUGUGGGAUGGGCCCGCGGCCUAUCAGCUUGUUGGUGGGGUAAUGGCCUACCAAGGCGACGACGGGUUAGCCGGCCUGAGAGGGUGUCCGGCCACACUGGGACUGAGAUACGGCCCAGACUCCUACGGGAGGCAGCAGUGGGGAAUAUUGCACAAUGGGCGCAAGCCUGAUGCAGCGACGCCGCGUGAGGGAUGACGGCCUUC